UGUAAGCCUGUGAAGGUGGCCUGUGAGGGUUGCUGGAGGUAUCAGAAGUGCGAAUGCUGACAUAAGUAACGAUAAAGCGGGUGAAAAGCCCGCUCGCCGGAAGACCAAGGGUUCCUGUCCAACGUUAAUCGGGGCAGGGUGAGUCGACCCCUAAGGCGAGGCCGAAAGGCGUAGUCGAUGGGAAACAGGUUAAUAUUCCUGUACUUGGUGUUACUGCGAAGGGGGGACGGAGAAGGCUAUGUUGGCCGGGCGACGGUUGUCCCGGUUUAAGCGUGUAGGCUGGUUUUCCAGGCAAAUCCGGAAAACCAAGGCUGAGGCGUGAUGACGAGGCACUACGGUGCUGAAGCGACAAAUGCCCUGCUUCCAGGAAAAGCCUCUAAGCAUCAGGUAACAUCAAAUCGUACCCCAAACCGACACAGGUGGUCAGGUAGAGAAUACCAAGGCGCUUGAGAGAACUCGGGUGAAGGAACUAGGCAAAAUGGUGCCGUAACUUCGGGAGAAGGCACGCUGAUAUGUAGGUGAAGCGACUUGCUCGUGGAGCUGAAAUCAGUCGAAGAUACCAGCUGGCUGCAACUGUUUAUUAAAAACACAGCACUGUGCAAACACGAAAGUGGACGUAUACGGUGUGACGCCUGCCCGGUGCCGGAAGGUUAAUUGAUGGGGUUAGCGGUAACGCGAAGCUCUUGAUCGAAGCCCCGGUAAACGGCGGCCGUAACUAUAACGGUCCUAAGGUAGCGAAAUUCCUUGUCGGGUAAGUUCCGACCUGCACGAAUGGCGUAAUGAUGGCCAGGCUGUCUCCACCCGAGACUCAGUGAAAUUGAACUCGCUGUGAAGAUGCAGUGUACCCGCGGCAAGACGGAAAGACCCCGUGAACCUUUACUAUAGCUUGACACUGAACAUUGAGCCUUGAUGUGUAGGAUAGGUGGGAGGCUUUGAAGUGUGGACGCCAGUCUGCAUGGAGCCGACCUUGAAAUACCACCCUUUAAUGUUUGAUGUUCUAACGUUGGCCCGUAAUCCGGGUUGCGGACAGUGUCUGGUGGGUAGUUUGACUGGGGCGGUCUCCUCCUAAAGAGUAACGGAGGAGCACGAAGGUUGGCUAAUCCUGGUCGGACAUCAGGAGGUUAGUGCAAUGGCAUAAGCCAGCUUGACUGCGAGCGUGACGGCGCGAGCAGGUGCGAAAGCAGGUCAUAGUGAUCCGGUGGUUCUGAAUGGAAGGGCCAUCGCUCAACGGAUAAAAGGUACUCCGGGGAUAACAGGCUGAUACCGCCCAAGAGUUCAUAUCGACGGCGGUGUUUGGCACCUCGAUGUCGGCUCAUCACAUCCUGGGGCUGAAGUAGGUCCCAAGGGUAUGGCUGUUCGCCAUUUAAAGUGGUACGCGAGCUGGGUUUAGAACGUCGUGAGACAGUUCGGUCCCUAUCUGCCGUGGGCGCUGGAGAACUGAGGGGGGCUGCUCCUAGUACGAGAGGACCGGAGUGGACGCAUCACUGGUGUUCGGGUUGUCAUGCCAAUGGCACUGCCCGGUAGCUAAAUGCGGAAGAGAUAAGUGCUGAAAGCAUCUAAGCACGAAACUUGCCCCGAGAUGAGUUCUCCCUGACUCC
This 1598-nucleotide ribosomal RNA is filed under the name Escherichia coli. RNAcentral's name for it is "partial 23S ribosomal RNA". It matches the Rfam family "Bacterial large subunit ribosomal RNA", at positions 1242 to 2822 of the family's 2925-position model. The record is from RNAcentral. Lineage: Bacteria; Pseudomonadati; Pseudomonadota; Gammaproteobacteria; Enterobacterales; Enterobacteriaceae.